RNAcentral lists this transfer RNA (68 nucleotides) under Marmota monax (woodchuck). Its description in RNAcentral is "tRNA.Ala". Lineage: Eukaryota; Metazoa; Chordata; Mammalia; Rodentia; Sciuridae. The record is from RNAcentral.
GUGGUGGCUCAGUGGUAGAGUGCUUGCCUAGCAUGUGCAAGGCCCUGGGUUCGAUCCUCAGCACCACA